GACCUGUAUGCUUGGUGAUCCAGGCUUCUGUGAGUAACAAAAUGCGUUCCCAGCCCUGCUGAAUGACAGAACACCGGUGAUGAGGUAGCACUUAGUAAAGCUGACUCAUUUCCUCGUUUAUAGAUGAAGGGGAUUGUCCAAGAAAUAAUCUCCCAGAGCCAGCUUGUUUGCCCGGAGGAAAGAAUUCAUUGAACAGCCACAGACUACAUUCCAGAACGUUAGCCAAGCACUUUGCAACAGGGUACCAUUGGGUCAUAGCAAGGCCUGCCACCACUCCUGGCAGAGACUCUACAAAUACCUGCCCAUGGGACAGAGGUCUGGUUGCAGGAGACACAGUGAGAAGGCAGCCGUCUGCAAGCCCGGAAGAGAGCUCUCACCAGCUCUUGGCCAUGACUCCAGCCUCCAGAACCGUGAGAAAUAAAGCCCUGUUGUUUUAGCUGCCUGGUCUGUAGGACUUGGUUAUGACAGCCCAAGCUGACCUGUACACAGAGGGGCCUCUCCUUCUGAGGGGCCAGCCCUGCUUUCCCCACCUGCCCUCUGCUUGGUGGUACUCUGGGUUUUCUCACAGCCUGUGCAUUCCUGCCUCCCAUCUGGAUUAGAAGCUUCAUCCUUAGGACUCCAGUAACAGGCCGUAUCAUGAUUUGCACCCCUCGGGCACUAGCCAAAUACAUUUCUCACACUAUAAAGUAUAAUAUUUGCUGAUUGGUUAACUAGUCUUGAGAGCUGAUUAGCCAAGUUGUACCUAUAUCUUGAAAUAAUUUGUUUUUACUUUGGUUUCAGAAUUGGCAAAGAAAUAUGGGGAUACUUAUGCACAAAAUUUCUGGCUACUUGGUGAUACGAGUGUGUUGCUUAUUUUCUCCUGGAAUGAUCCAGAUUCAGAGAGUUACCUCAGCACUGACCUUUAUCUUGCAUAUAAACAUAAAAUGGGGCCCAGGACUCCAAAUUCUACAAAACUCACUGUAAUUUUCUUUGAAUGGAGGUCGUUUUAUCAAUAAUAUUAAAAUCCCAUUAAAUUAUCUGAUCCUAGACCGGGGUGCUUCAUACUGUUCUCUUUCUUUAUAAUUAUUUAAUCUCUUUUUAGUAGAAAAGAGGAAAAAUCCCUUGAACCAGAAAUGAUUUCUUUCUACUCUAACAGUAUUCCUUUCUUCACUCUGGGUGAAAUAAACUUAACAGAAAGGAGCUGAACUUUCCACUCCAGGCCACACGAUUUAAUGUGAUGCAGGAUUUUCAAUUAAUGGCACUACCUUGGACUUGAUCAGAAAAUCAACCACGAGAACUGAAGCUGCAAGGGGUUAACACUUUUUCAUUGUUUUUACAGAAAAACUAUGUAUGUCAAAAAAUAAUCCAAAGGAUUUUUCAUUUGCAUUUCUAACCUAAA
Molecule: non-coding RNA, 1378 nt
Organism: Kogia breviceps (pygmy sperm whale)
Lineage: Eukaryota; Metazoa; Chordata; Mammalia; Artiodactyla; Physeteridae
Source: RefSeq, a predicted model, not a curated record